CCCAACCUCCCACCCGUGUCUAUCGUACCUUGUUGCUUCGGCGGGCCCGCCGUUUCGACGCCGCCGGGGAGGCCCUGCGCCCCCGGGCCCGCGCCCGCCGAAGACCCCAACAUGAACGCUGUGCUGAAAGUAUGCAGUCUGAGUUGAUUAUCGUAAUCAGUUAAAACUUUCAACAACGGCUCUUGGUUCCGGCAUCGAUGAAGAACGCAGCGAAAUGCGAUAAGUAAUGUGAAUUGCAGAAUUCAGUGAAUCAUCGAGUCUUUGAACGCACAUUGCGCCCCCUGGUAUUCCGGGGGGCAUGCCUGUCCGAGCGUCAUUGCUGCCCUCAAGCACGGCUUGUGUGUUGGGCCCCCGUCCCCCUCUCCCGGGGGACGGGCCCGAAAGGCAGCGGCGGCACCGCGUCCGGUCCUCGAGCGUAUGGGGCUUUGUCACCUGCUCUGUAGGCCCGGCCGGCGCCAGCCGACACCCAACUUUAUUUUUCUAAGGUUGACCUCGGAUCAGGUAGGGAUACCCGCUGAACUUAAGCAUAUCAAUAAG
RNAcentral lists this ribosomal RNA (537 nucleotides) under Aspergillus fumigatus. RNAcentral describes it as "eukaryotic LSU rRNA". The stretch from base 165 to 316 matches the Rfam family "5.8S ribosomal RNA". Lineage: Eukaryota; Fungi; Ascomycota; Eurotiomycetes; Eurotiales; Aspergillaceae. The record is from RNAcentral.